RNAcentral lists this non-coding RNA (68 nucleotides) under Gordonia paraffinivorans. Lineage: Bacteria; Bacillati; Actinomycetota; Actinomycetes; Mycobacteriales; Gordoniaceae. The record is from RNAcentral.
CCAGAGUCCGCCCACCUGGACUCCCGGACGAGGGGUGCCGUACCCGGAACGCGACAAGACGGCCCGAG